RNAcentral lists this long non-coding RNA (740 nucleotides) under Olea europaea subsp. europaea. The record is from RNAcentral. Lineage: Eukaryota; Viridiplantae; Streptophyta; Magnoliopsida; Lamiales; Oleaceae.
AUUACUAACAAUUAAACUACAUAUUGGUCCUCAAAUUCUGUAUUGUAAUUAUUAAAAACAGAAUUCAUGUUGCAAACAAUAACGCAACUUUUUAUGUACUCUGUGUAAGAGAAAAGGAAUAUAGAAAUUGUUCCACAUAGAUAAGUUCAAGGCUAACAGAUUCUGGCUAUUAUUACCAAUACCCACAUAUAGCCAUCUAUAGUAGUUCCUUCUCGCUCUUGUAAAUUUCCAGAUUUCAUGGAUCUCUCUAUCAGCCCUUCUCCAUACAUUAGUUUGGUCCAUUAAUUUUCAUUUCCUAAUUCAUUUGAUCCAGUUUCUCUCAAAGAACAUUUAACUUGUUGAGUUGCCACCGGUCCUCCAAGAAUAACACCCAGCUCAGUCAAUCUAAUUUUCAGAAUCCAAAUUACGCCUUGAUCUAAUAUGAAGUCCAAGUUUAACUUGAAAAAUUCAUAAUUUCCACUUGAUGUUGUCGAAAGUCACAUUUCACCCUAAAUUAAAGUUGUACACAUGCCAAGAUGCAUUCUAAAGAAACUUAAGAAGUCGUAGAUGAAAGUUUCCAACGAUUCUCCUGCUCAUGAAGUUAUGGGACUAAUUCUCCCAUUGCCGGUGCUUCCACACCCUUCACAUAAUAGCUGAUAAUUAAAUUCAUAAACAUAGAAUAGAAUCAUUUAACAAACUGCAGGAGUGUCCAUCAGGGUGAAGACACAAUUUUAAUAGACAAAUUCCGGGCAGUACCUAAG